RNAcentral lists this ribosomal RNA (207 nucleotides) under uncultured bacterium. RNAcentral describes it as "partial 16S ribosomal RNA". It matches the Rfam family "Bacterial small subunit ribosomal RNA", at positions 568 to 774 of the family's 1533-position model. The record is from RNAcentral.
CGUGCAGGUGGUUUGGUAAGUUGGGUAUGAAAUCUCCUGGCUUAACUGGGAGAGGUUGCUCAAAACUACCAGACUAGAGGACGGUAGAGGAAGGUGGAAUUCCCGGUGUAGUAGUGAAAUGCGUAGAUAUCGGGAGGAACACCAGUGGCGAAGGCGGCCUUCUGGGCCGUUCCUGACACUAAGACGCGAAAGCAUGGGUAGCAAACG